This 270-nucleotide ribosomal RNA is filed under the name Clostridioides difficile. RNAcentral's name for it is "partial 16S ribosomal RNA". It matches the Rfam family "Bacterial small subunit ribosomal RNA", at positions 1 to 278 of the family's 1533-position model. Lineage: Bacteria; Bacillati; Bacillota; Clostridia; Peptostreptococcales; Peptostreptococcaceae. The record is from RNAcentral.
UUUUAUUUGAGAGUUUGAUCCUGGCUCAGGAUGAACGCUGGCGGCGUGCCUAACACAUGCAAGUUGAGCGAUUUACUUCGGUAAAGAGCGGCGGACGGGUGAGUAACGCGUGGGUAACCUACCCUGUACACACGGAUAACAUACCGAAAGGUAUGCUAAUACGGGAUAAUAUAUUUGAGAGGCAUCUCUUGAAUAUCAAAGGUGAGCCAGUACAGGAUGGACCCGCGUCUGAUUAGCUAGUUGGUAAGGUAACGGCUUACCAAGGCGACG